Xyrichtys novacula (pearly razorfish) is the source of this 4745-nucleotide non-coding RNA. Lineage: Eukaryota; Metazoa; Chordata; Actinopteri; Labriformes; Labridae. The record is from the annotation of a GenBank genome assembly.
AUUUAAUCAACAGAAUUUAAGGACGACUGCCUAAAUCCAGAGCCACACUCCAGUUCAGUAGGUGGCGGUAAUGCACCUUUCAGCUAGUUUGCCAACCGCCAAAAAGAAGAAGGCGAAGAAGAAGCCUCCCCCUGCCUCGUAGGAAACCUUUACUGCGCAUGCGCCGGCGUUCUCCGACCCGCCAAAUCGCCGGUGUAGUAGUACAUUUCAAAUUUUUAACGUUCCCCAAAGGAUCUGAGAGCAAAUAUACGUCGCUAGUGUUGCCACAAAUCAACCACAAGUUUAUUUUACCUCACCUGUAAGCUUUUUCUUGACGGCGAACAAUGAACAAGGCGAACAAGGUGGAAAAGAAACCGGUUUUAACCAACGGAGUCAGUUAAUCCGUUUCGUGAGACGACGGGAUUCGGCUUCAUCGGAUGUCUUAUUUUGCCUCAGUGGGACUUCAACCUGCAUCCAUUCGGGUAGGUGUGUUUUCUGUAUUUUAAUGUCUGGUUUGUGUUGUCGCUCACUUGUUGAAGCUCUCCUCACGUUUUAUUGUACAAAAUAAGCUAAAUCCUUCAGUAACUGUCGCUAACCGUCGGUAACCGUCGUUUCAAUCUACAGGCACCUGAGACGUUAGGCCUGCUAGCUUAACCAGGCGAGCAACCGUCAGCAAACACAUUAGCUGCUUAGCCGCGAUCGAAAAGCGACCAAUGGCGCUGUGUGCCGCUGCUCAAGGCUACUUUCUUGUUCAAUAAGCCUAAACACUUAAAUGUAACCUGAUAUUUAGCUAUUUAAAAUAUAGGCCUAUUUUUUGCUAGUUAUCACUGUUUGCAAAAAAAUCUUGAUAGAGCAACCAGCACAAAUCACAUUUAAUGAAGAAGUUGAGGAAUUUGCAUUAAAAGCCCUUGCCGAUAAUGGGCACGUUUUAUUCAGGCAGAAUAAAUUCAGUUGUUUUCUUGAAUGUUUUUGUUUCACUUGUCCUGACAUAAAGACUUAAAAAAUUGAGAAAGAUGAAGUUUGUCUAAGUGAAUGUCUAUUUACCCAAGAAUUUAAGGCCCUGUUUGAAGUAGGCCUACAACAAGACGGUUUCUCUGUCUUUACUCACAAGGAAUAGCUUACUGGAGGAGUUAAAAACAAGGGCAUUGUCACUGUUCUCUGGGAUUUACGAAUAAUAGUUCAUAUUGUAUGGUAGUCAACAUAACUUAUAAGAGCAGAAUCCUAUCAAACAAGCAUACUGGUACCGCUGCAGUGCCAAAGGGAAGUGCAGCCCAUUGCCUAUAUUAGCUUUAGGGUCCUAUGAUUUCUGCAUUAGCGGAAUUGGCCUAUAAAAAACGAAAUCUACAGUUGCACAUUAGUUGGUUUUCUGUUUUUUUUUUUGUGUUUUCCAACCACAUCAGUUUAAAAUGUGUAACUGGAACUUUUCUGAGAAGUACAAUACUAAUGCUGCACAUUCUGUGAUUUCUAGGUUUUCCAAAGGAUGAGGAGUAUCUAACACCAAGCUGUAUCUGCUGUUACACCGCCUCUGUGCUUCAUGAGAGAUGUGAUUGCCUGUGGAUGACUCUGGACGUGAUAACCAUCAUUCUGCUCAUCUUUUGAGGCUGCUUUUACAGUGAGUAAAAAAACAUCUAUAACGAGAAAUGUACGUUUGACAUAUUAGGGCGACAGUAGCUCAGGAGGUAAAACGGUCAUCCAAUAACUAGAAGGUUGGCGGGUUUUGAUUCCCCCCUAUCCCUACUCUGUCCAUUGUGUCUUUGGGCAAGACACUUAGCCCACCUUGCUCGCAGUGUGUGUCUUCUGCUAGUGUAUGAUUGUGAGUGUUGUGUGGUGGUGGUCAGAGAGGCUGUAGGUGCACAUUAGCAGCCACAGUUCAGUCAGUUUGCUCCAGGGAAGCUGUGACUACUAAGGUAGUUUACCACCACCAGGGUGUGACUGUGAGUGAAUGAAUGAUGUAUCCAAUGUAAAGCGCUUUGAGGGUCUCUGAUAAAGGGCUGUAAAAUCUGAUGCAUUGUUGUUAUUAUUAUUAUAAUGAAUAAUAGAAUCUGGGAGAUGACUUCAGCUCUAGAAGACAUCUGUUCUCUUUUCUAUCCAGAGUUAUUGCAUUAUGAGAGCUUUUAAUGACACUUAAUGUCAUUUUUAUAUUUCUGAAAUCAAGUGUCUUGAUGCUGAAACUUUGAAUUGCUUCAUGUCUACUGAAGUAGUUUUAACUACACAGCUAUAUGUAGACCCUCACUGAGGGGUGGCCUGAUACAACUUUUUUUUACUUCUGAUACGAUACUGAUAUUGUAGCCUUCAGUAUUGAUUGGUACCGAUAUUGAUUGGAUAUUAGUGCAAACUUGUGCAUGACAGGUUUGCAGUCAGCUGCAAUGUCUUUUUCAGACUUGAAUGAUAAAUAUUGCCACACGACCCAUCACUCCUCACUCUUACUUGUUAGUACCUUGGUACACACUGUUGUAAUGAUCAAGUGGGCUUUGCAUGCUGAAACCGACCACUGCUAGUUAGAAGUGCUGUAGUGAAGUCUGGAAUGGAUUGCUUGUAUUGGAGUGCUUAUGGGAGAUUGUAGAUGCAAGCCGAUAUGAUCCAGUAUUCAUUUUUUUCACUGAUAUCGGACCGAUAUCUGAUAUUUGAUAUCAAUAUCAGCACAGGACAACCCUACCCUUACUAUUAAAAGGAGAAGACGAAAACAGAGAACUGAUGAUGAACAUGGUCAGAGUGUUUCUCAGCUUUAAAGUUUUUAACAACUUAAGGGGACUGAGUAAAGUCAUUACCGUGGAAGAUGGUGGAGCUGGAAGCCAGCUGGUAGUACUGAUGCUUGAAUUUUAAGUAAUGAACAACAGAAAUGCAAAAGGCUUGUGUGUUUUACAACCAAGAAAAGUAUUUUUUGAUCCCUAACUUAAAGAAUCCGAUGAUCUAAUUAAAUAUGUUGUUGUCUCCAGUCUUGAUUCUGGUAAUAGAGUAUUGACUGUCUGUAGAUGUUAAGUCCUGAACUGAUACUUUUGUUUUCUUUAUCUAUAAAACUGCAAAGUAAAUGCCACAAGUGUAUAAAAAUGUUAUUUGAUUAUAACCCCACAAGCAUUAGGGCUGUGCCCUUAGUGUAAUAUGUGUAUUUUUUUAUAUGAUAGCAAAGCAUAAAAUAAAUCUUUUGACAACUUGCUGCCCCAAGGAGUUUCUUUGUUCUUUUUAAAAUAUUUUCCAGUGCAACUCUAAUGUACUGUAAUGUGUAUGGUACUUAUCUUUGUGUGUAUGUCUUUGUAGAGAAAACAUAAUGACUGCCUUUUUUAGCUAUAUCUCAAGUGAGUGACUGAUGUUGUCCUUGAUACCUGUUUGAUGUGGUUGGAACAGUGUGGUUGCUGCCAGCUCUCUUUUUUUCUUUUUUUGUAAGAUAGCCUCUGGUGUGACAGACCAAUCAGUAAUUGAUAGGAAACCAAUCCAAAACAGAGUGACAGUGCAACAUUUAUUUGAUUCAGUUCAAGUAAACCUUACAUGGAGAGUCCCUAGAAUGUAUACAAAAAGGUCAUUGUAAUUACUUUACAUCUCCUGCGUCAUCAUGCACCCUAAUCUAUUUUUAUCACCAUGGCAGUUGUCCUUUUUUCUGUGAAAAAGUCCCUCUUAAAUUUAAACACAAUAUGUCCUCAAAAUAUCAGAUGAAUUUUGUAAGGUGCGAGCUCAGAGAGUGGCCCUUGUGUUUUACUGGCUACUGAUCCAGUUUUCCUUCACUGUUAUUCAGCUUGUAAAUCUAUCUCUUUUUUUAAUGAUUACCACCAAACAGGACAAAACUGAUUAUAUGUGACAGUUGGGACAGCAGAAGGAAAAUGCUCCACAGGCCUUCACUGAGAAGUUAGCAUAAAUCACAAGGUUGAGGAAUGAUCCCUCUAAAAAAAAAACUCCUAUGACACAAACUCCUACUCUACCUGUAAAAACACAUUGUUGAUUUAAGGCAGGGCUUUGACAGAAUUCUAUUUUUUACAUUUUGUUCAUGGUAUUGUGUUUAAUCAAUGUUUUAUUCUUUGUAUGCAUUUUAAGAGCAACUGGAAAAAAAGUCAGUUUCCUUGUAUGUGCACAUAUUUGGUCAUUAAAGCUGAUUAUCAUGGUGUUGAUGUAUGACUUUCUAUUGAUAAACUUGUGGGUACUUUGCUUUCUAUGACUGCUUUAGACUGUGGCGUAAAAUGCUAACUGAGAAUGUAGUAUUUCCUAUUAAUCUGUUUUACAGGACAAGUCCUCUCAUGCUAUCUGAGCAAUCUGUUGUAUCUGUCCAUGGUCCUGAAAAAACAUAGUGCAACUAGAAACUGUAUUUGAGCUUAAGCAUGAAUUUGACAACUAUUUGAUACUGCAAUCACUAUCACUUCUGCUGCUGGUACUUUUACUAAUAAUGCUGCAACUACUACUAGGAAUAACACUGAUUAUGCUAACACUGCUCUUGCAGUUCUUGCUGCUAUACUAACCUUCAGUGAAAUUGAUGAUGGUUAUGGAAAUCAUACUUCAAAGGAAUCUUAUUUCCCCGCUCAUGAUGCAUUGAUAAUGGGUAUGUUGAAAAAGUAACAAUGCCAUUUGUAUAACAAUAAUGUUUUUUUUUUUGUUUGUUUUUAUUAAAACGUAUGCCUUACUUUGUAAGCAAUGUGAAUUAUACACAUUCUUUUGAUGAUUUCUUGCUGUUUAUAGAUGACAUACUUUCUCAUGUCUUUAACAACCUUCAAAGCCCGUCACCACUUUCAUGGUGUGUUCUAAAUUUGUUGUAUUUGUAAAUAGGGAUUCUUAAUAAAAACUGG